RNAcentral lists this unclassified non-coding RNA (402 nucleotides) under soil metagenome. RNAcentral's name for it is "partial contains 5.8S ribosomal RNA, internal transcribed spacer 2, and large subunit ribosomal RNA". The stretch from base 1 to 121 matches the Rfam family "5.8S ribosomal RNA", at positions 35 to 154 of the family's 154-position model. The record is from RNAcentral.
GAUGAAGAACGUAGCGAAAUGCUAUAAGUAAUGUGAAUUGCAGAAUUCAGUGAAUCAUCGAAUCUUUGAACGCACCUUGCGCCCUUUGGCCAUUCCGAAGGGCAUGCCUGUUUGAGUAUCAUGAACACCUCAACUCUCAUGGCUCGCCAUGAUGAGCUUGGAUUUUGGGGGUCUUGCUGGCCUGUGGUCGGCUCCUCUCAAAUGGAUCAGCUUGCCAGUGUUUGGUGGCAUCACAGGUGUGAUAACUAUCUGCGCUUGUGGUUUUCCAUCAGAUAACCUUCAGUGAUGGAGGUUCGCUGGAGCUCAUAAACGUCUCCCCUAAGCGGGGACAGCCCUUUGAAUGUUUGAUCUCAAAUCAGGUAGGACUACCCGCUGAACUUAAGCAUAUCAAUAAGCGGAGGA